UUAGUCGAAACCAAAGAGGAGGUAUAUCACUGUUAAUGAUAAUAUUGAGCAAUCGCUCCGCCUAAG
RNAcentral lists this transfer RNA (66 nucleotides) under Allotermes cf. paradoxus. RNAcentral describes it as "tRNA-Asn". Lineage: Eukaryota; Metazoa; Arthropoda; Insecta; Blattodea; Kalotermitidae. The record is from RNAcentral.